RNAcentral lists this transfer RNA (62 nucleotides) under Gammarus fossarum. Its description in RNAcentral is "tRNA-Leu". Lineage: Eukaryota; Metazoa; Arthropoda; Malacostraca; Amphipoda; Gammaridae. The record is from RNAcentral.
GCUGGUUUGGCGGAAAUACGCGUAAAGUUUAGGACUUUAGUAUGAAAAUUUUUCAAUCGGCG